UUUGGUGGAAAUUCAAUUGAAAAACAUAAAACCUAGUUUAUGGCAGGAGGGUCAUUGAAAAUAUUUUGUAAAAUUUUAUAAACAUACAAAAUAGCUGCUUCAUUCAAACUACAUAACAUAAUUCAACUGAAGAAAGUAUUUACAAUUAAACUGAACACAUACCACUCAGAGUCCAAAUAUAAGGCUUCAUAAUUUGGUUGGCUUAACUCGUCUGAGCUCAACAGAUAGCACCGCACGUAUUUACUAGAUAUUAACCUAAGUUAACCUUCACUUACAAUCUCAAACUCUUAUAAAAUGAAUUAAAAACAUAUUUCACAAAAUUAAUAAUCUUGCAAUGUCACUCUGACUCACACAAAUUCUUGUAGACCAAAAUGGCCCCAAUAUGAAUUACUGGAUGCAAAAAAGCAGGGAAAUAUGAAAAACUUACAAUUUGAUGACGAUUUCUGCACCUUUGGAGCGGAUAAAGCAUAUGCCCAUGAAGAAGUUUAUUGAAAUUCAAUAUUCUCCUGACAUAUAUUGGUCUUCUGAUUCCACUCCGAUUCCAAGAAGUUGAAGUUGUUAAGAUUGCCGAAACGCUCACCUUUAAUUCCCGUUGUGGAAUUUGUUUCAUACGCUUUGAAGCGGAGAGCAUUUUCGCGGGGUUGCUAGAAAUUGUAUUCGGUUCUUCUUGGGUAUAGGGUUUAAGGAACCCAAAUGAAGCUGGAACUAGGGUUCCGAUUUCGGGGUAGCGGUGUUUUUCCCCUGGUGUGAUGGGCCUUUCGGUGGUCACUUCAUACUCGCUUUUUCUGUAAACCUGCUUGAUUCUUCUUGCUCCAGGGGAGAGGGGCUUGUAUAAGGUUGUGUUUGGCUGAACUUCCAAACUACCAAUUCCGCUGUUUGGU
This 881-nucleotide long non-coding RNA is filed under the name Panax ginseng (ginseng). Its description in RNAcentral is "long non-coding RNA (PGIN_LNC003278)". The record is from RNAcentral. Lineage: Eukaryota; Viridiplantae; Streptophyta; Magnoliopsida; Apiales; Araliaceae.